GACGAACGCUGGCGGCGUGCCUAAUACAUGCAAGUUGAGCGCUGAAGGUUGGUACUUGUACCUACUGGAUGAGCAGCGAACGGGUGAGUAACGCGUGGGGAAUCUGCCUUUGAGCGGGGGACAACAUUUGGAAACGAAUGCUAAUACCGCAUAAAAACUUUAAACACAAGUUUUAAGUUUGAAAGAUGCAAUUGCAUCACUCAAAGAUGAUCCCGCGUUGUAUUAGCUAGUUGGUGAGGUAAAGGCUCACCAAGGCGAUGAUACAUAGCCGACCUGGGAGGGUGAUCGGCCACAGUGGGACCGAGACACGGCUCAAACUCCUACGGGAGGCAGCAGUAGGGAAUCUUCGGCAAUGGACGAAAGUCUGACCGAGCAACGCCGCGUGGGGGAAGAAGGUUUUCGGAUCGUAAAACUCUGUUGGUAGAGAAGAACGUUGGUGAGAGUGGAAAGCUCAUCAAGUGACGGUAACUACACAGAAAGCGACGGCUAACUACGUG
This 497-nucleotide ribosomal RNA is filed under the name uncultured bacterium. RNAcentral's name for it is "partial 16S ribosomal RNA". It matches the Rfam family "Bacterial small subunit ribosomal RNA", at positions 28 to 507 of the family's 1533-position model. The record is from RNAcentral.